RNAcentral lists this ribosomal RNA (638 nucleotides) under Staphylococcus sp. 781. RNAcentral describes it as "bacterial SSU rRNA". It matches the Rfam family "Bacterial small subunit ribosomal RNA", at positions 85 to 710 of the family's 1533-position model. The record is from RNAcentral. Lineage: Bacteria; Bacillati; Bacillota; Bacilli; Caryophanales; Staphylococcaceae.
UCUGACGUUAGCGGCGGACGGGUGAGUAACACGUGGAUAACCUACCUAUAAGACUGGGAUAACUUCGGGAAACCGGAGCUAAUACCGGAUAAUAUAUUGAACCGCAUGGUUCAAUAGUGAAAGACGGUUUUGCUGUCACUUAUAGAUGGAUCCGCGCCGCAUUAGCUAGUUGGUAAGGUAACGGCUUACCAAGGCAACGAUGCGUAGCCGACCUGAGAGGGUGAUCGGCCACACUGGAACUGAGACACGGUCCAGACUCCUACGGGAGGCAGCAGUAGGGAAUCUUCCGCAAUGGGCGAAAGCCUGACGGAGCAACGCCGCGUGAGUGAUGAAGGUCUUCGGAUCGUAAAACUCUGUUAUUAGGGAAGAACAAAUGUGUAAGUAACUAUGCACGUCUUGACGGUACCUAAUCAGAAAGCCACGGCUAACUACGUGCCAGCAGCCGCGGUAAUACGUAGGUGGCAAGCGUUAUCCGGAAUUAUUGGGCGUAAAGCGCGCGUAGGCGGUUUUUUAAGUCUGAUGUGAAAGCCCACGGCUCAACCGUGGAGGGUCAUUGGAAACUGGAAAACUUGAGUGCAGAAGAGGAAAGUGGAAUUCCAUGUGUAGCGGUGAAAUGCGCAGAGAUAUGGAGGAACACC